CAGUAGCCGCGGGAACACGUAGGUGGCAAGCGUUGUCCGGAAUUAUUGGGCGUAAAGGGCUCGCAGGCGGUUUCUUAAGUCUGAUGUGAAAGCCCCCGGCUCAACCGGGGAGGGUCAUUGGAAACUGGGAAACUUGAGUGCAGAAGAGGAGAGUGGAAUUCCACGUGUAGCGGUGAAAUGCGUAGAGAUGUGGAGGAACACCAGUGGCGAAGGCGACUCUCUGGUCUGUAACUGACGCUGAGGAGCGAAAGCGUGGGGAGCGAACAGGAUUAGAGACCCGCGUAGUCCCUGUCUCUUAUAC
This 301-nucleotide ribosomal RNA is filed under the name uncultured bacterium. Its description in RNAcentral is "partial 16S ribosomal RNA". It matches the Rfam family "Bacterial small subunit ribosomal RNA", at positions 509 to 807 of the family's 1533-position model. The record is from RNAcentral.